This 199-nucleotide ribosomal RNA is filed under the name uncultured bacterium. RNAcentral describes it as "partial 16S ribosomal RNA". It matches the Rfam family "Bacterial small subunit ribosomal RNA", at positions 328 to 539 of the family's 1533-position model. The record is from RNAcentral.
ACGCUCGACACCUACGGGAGGUAGCAGUCGGGAAUAUUGCGCAAUGGAGGAAACUCUGACGCAGUGACGCCGCGUAUGGGAAGAAGGUUUUCGGAUUGUAAACCAUUUUAGACAAGGAAGAAAGAAGACAGUACUUGUAGAAUAAGCUCCGGCUAACUACGUGCAAGCAGCCGCGGUAAUCUGAGCGGGCUGGCAAGGC